Molecule: ribosomal RNA, 531 nt
Filed under: uncultured bacterium
Lineage: Bacteria
Description: bacterial SSU rRNA
Rfam family: Bacterial small subunit ribosomal RNA
Source: RNAcentral
GAUGAGCCCGCGUUGGAUUAGCUAGUUGGUGGGGUAACCGCCUACCAAGGCGACGAUCCAUAGCUGGUCUGAGAGGAUGAUCAGCCACAUUGGGACUGAGACACGGCCCAAACUCCUACGGGAGGCAGCAGUGGGGAAUAUUGGACAAUGGGCGCAAGCCUGAUCCAGCCAUGCCGCGUGAGUGAUGAAGGUCUUAGGAUUGUAAAGCUCUUUCACCGGGGACGAUAAUGACGGUACCCGGAGAAGAAGCCCCGGCUAACUUCGUGCCAGCAGCCGCGGUAAUACGAAGGGGGCUAGCGUUGUUCGGAAUUACUGGGCGUAAAGCGCACGUAGGCGGAUAUUUAAGUCAGGGGUGAAAUCCCGGGGCUCAACCCCGGAACUGCCUUUGAUACUGGGUAUCUUGAGUGUGGUAGAGGUGAGUGGAAUUGCGAGUGUAGAGGUGAAAUUCGUAGAUAUUCGCAGGAACACCAGUGGCGAAGGCGGCUCACUGGACCACAACUGACGCUGAGGUGCGAAAGCGUGGGGAGCAAA